GGGGUUGUGGCUCAGCAGUAGAGCGCUUGCCUAGCAUGUGUGAGGCCCUGGGUUCAAUUCUCAGUACCACUU
This 72-nucleotide transfer RNA is filed under the name Ictidomys tridecemlineatus (thirteen-lined ground squirrel). RNAcentral describes it as "Spermophilus tridecemlineatus (thirteen-lined ground squirrel) tRNA". It matches the Rfam family "tRNA". From Rfam's summary of the family: Transfer RNA (tRNA) molecules are approximately 80 nucleotides in length. Their secondary structure includes four short double-helical elements and three loops (D, anti-codon, and T loops). The record is from Rfam by way of RNAcentral. Lineage: Eukaryota; Metazoa; Chordata; Mammalia; Rodentia; Sciuridae.